Corythoichthys intestinalis (scribbled pipefish) is the source of this 569-nucleotide long non-coding RNA. RefSeq lists it as uncharacterized. The record is from RefSeq and is a predicted model, not a curated record. NCBI's taxonomy places the organism in Eukaryota, Metazoa, Chordata, Actinopteri, Syngnathiformes, Syngnathidae. The transcript has 3 exons.
ACUGCGUUGUGAUGUGUGUGGGGCCAUACGAGGCAAGUUAGCUUUGCUUCCUGAACUGAAAGCAGGGAAGGAGGCGGAGCUUCGGGGUAGACAUGCCACGGGAAUGGAAGCGGGGGCAGAGCCAUGAGCAGGGCGGAGUCCGAGAGGCGGUGUCAGCCAAUAGGAGUCGAGUCCCGGCGCCGGCAGUAGUAGACUUCCGGGUGCGUUUCCGGGAUUAUCCGGUUGGACAAAGUAUUUUUCUCGCAGGUUGGCAUCUACUGGAAAUGGUGCGGUUUGCAAUGACCGAAAAUUACUUAAUUUACUUUUCAACGGGAGGUUUUAAUGCCAGAUUAUAGUUAUCGUAGAUUUUAUAAACACGUAACCGCGUUUGUCACGUUGCGUCAGCAUGUUGACAACUAGCCAACAUCGUUCAACAAACGUAAAGGUAUGAAAUUUAACCCACGAAGAAAUACUCACGUUUCAGCCACGUGGCUCGGCACAUGGUGGAGGCUAAUUUAGAGCACCGUUCAUUCAAAUCGUUAAACAACGUGAUGCAGCAGGAAUUGCGACAUCAGAGUAAGUUGUGUAAA